AUGGCGUCGUCUCUGCCGGAGAAGGCUGGGGUUCCCCCGUGGAGCAGGCUGGAAGGGCAGGUUGUGCUGGUGACGGGCGCCUCCUCCGGCAUCGGCCGCGAUUUCUGCCUCGACCUGGCGCGCGCCGGCUGCCGGGUCGUCGCCGCCGCGCGCCGCGCCGACCGCCUCCGCUCCCUCUGCGACGAGGUCAACGCAUCCGCGGACGCGGCCGCCAGCCAUCCCCGGGCGGUGGCCGUCGAGCUCGACGUCGCCGCCGGAGGGUCCGCCGUCGAGGCGGCGGUGCAGAGGGCCUGGGACGCCUUCGGCCGCAUCGACGUCUUGAUCAACAACGCUGGCCUCCGAGGAGGUGUUCAUUCCUCACUGGAUUGGCCUGAGGAUGAGUGGGAUAAACUCAUCAAGACAAACCUUACCGGAUUAUGGCUCGUCGCCAAGCAUGUAUGUAGACACAUGCGUGAUGCCAAGAUAAAGGGUUCAGUAAUCAACAUUUCGUCUGUUGCUGGCCUCAACCGUGGCAAUCUGCCUGGCUCCAUUGGAUACGCAUCUUCCAAGUCGGCCGUGCAUUCUGUCACGAAGAUAAUGGCUUUGGAACUAGGAGGGUAUAGAAUUAGAGUGAACGCAAUUGCGCCUGGAAUAUUCCAGUCAGAAAUAACUGCUCCUCUGUUGCAAAAGAGAUGGUUGAGCACCGUUGUUUCGAAGAUUGUGCCACUUAAGACAAAUGGCACUACCGAUCCAGCAUUAACAUCGCUGGUUCGUUUUCUGAUCCAUGAAAAGGCAUCAUAUAUAACUGGCAACAUCUUCAUCGUAGAUUCAGGCGUCACCGUACCUGGUGUUCCAAUAUUCUCUUCUCUGUAA
This 852-nucleotide ribosomal RNA is filed under the name Triticum aestivum (bread wheat). RNAcentral describes it as "partial small subunit ribosomal RNA". The record is from RNAcentral. Lineage: Eukaryota; Viridiplantae; Streptophyta; Magnoliopsida; Poales; Poaceae.